CUAUGGAAAUAUUCAGGAGGCAUAUAACCAGUAGAGACACGAGGAGCAGAAUUUGAGAGAAAAUUGGCACGUCCAUACUCUGCAAACUUUAAUUGAAAAUUUCCGUCAAGAAAGAUACUAUCAUCCUUGAAAUGCUCGUAUAUGUUCCAACGUUUAUAUUGUUCAUGUAGAUCUACCAAUCCUUUUGCAAUGCCUAAGGCGAUCUCCAUUCUGGUUGGCCAAUCCACUGUUGAUCUCGCAUUUCCAUGUAAAUGAGAUCUCAAGGAUUUGUCCUCUGAAACGAACUCAAAAACAAGUACUUUAUUGCCUCCUUCAUCGCAGUAUCCAAUCAGCUUAACAAGAUUGUUGUGAUGGACGCUACUACAAAUGGCUUUCAUUUUCUCGAAUGCAUCUUCUUGCUUUCGAGGCAUAUGUGAAAAUUUCUUGACUGUCACCUCAUGAUUGAUUAGGUAUCCCUUAUAAACUUGACCCAAACUACCCUCGCAAAGAAGGUUUUUGCUGGAGAAACCUUCUGUCGCCUUUGUUAGUUGUUCAUAAGUAAAUAUCACCGGCUUGUGAAUUUCAAGCCUCUCAAUGCCACUCGAUGAAGCUUCUCUACUUAUAGUACUGCGUCGCAUUUCGUUAUCAAUCUUCUCAAUCCAUAAUUUCUUUUCAAGCAUAGCUCCUUCAAGAAAUCGAACAAUCUCUCUCAUUGAUGGACGAAACUCUGGACGGUUAUAUACACAACCUUUGGCACAAUAUAUUACUUUUUCCAUUUCUCCUUUAUCAUACUUUUGCAAUCUGACAUCAACAAAGUCCUUAUAAUCUCCUUUCAAAGCCUGCAUAAUUCGAGUCUUUGCCCAAUCAACGAUUUUAACGCCUUCAUGUAAAGGUUCUCUCCCCGUAAUCAACUCUAGAAGCACCACACCGAAAGAGUAGACAUCUGACUUAGCAGAUACCUUUCCAGAAUAGUCUAGAUCCAUAUAAACUUCAGUUCCUUUAAUCGUUCUAGAAAGAUGAGUAACACUAUCCGGAAAGUACAAGGCAAGUCCG
This 1032-nucleotide unclassified non-coding RNA is filed under the name Hevea brasiliensis (rubber tree). Lineage: Eukaryota; Viridiplantae; Streptophyta; Magnoliopsida; Malpighiales; Euphorbiaceae. The record is from RNAcentral.